GACAAGGUGGCCGAGUGGUUAAGGCGUUGGACUGCUAAUCCAAUGGGGUCUCCCCGCGUGAGUUCGAAUCUCAUCCUUGUCG
Molecule: transfer RNA, 82 nt
Filed under: Amphibalanus amphitrite
Lineage: Eukaryota; Metazoa; Arthropoda; Thecostraca; Balanomorpha; Balanidae
Description: tRNA-Ser
Rfam family: tRNA
About the family: Transfer RNA (tRNA) molecules are approximately 80 nucleotides in length. Their secondary structure includes four short double-helical elements and three loops (D, anti-codon, and T loops). Further hydrogen bonds mediate the characteristic L-shaped molecular structure. tRNAs have two regions of fundamental functional importance: the anti-codon, which is responsible for specific mRNA codon recognition, and the 3' end, to which the tRNAs corresponding amino acid is attached (by aminoacyl-tRNA synthetases). tRNAs cope with the degeneracy of the genetic code in two manners: having more than one tRNA (with a specific anti-codon) for a particular amino acid; and 'wobble' base-pairing, i.e. permitting non-standard base-pairing at the 3rd anti-codon position.
Source: Rfam by way of RNAcentral